RNAcentral lists this ribosomal RNA (229 nucleotides) under uncultured bacterium. RNAcentral's name for it is "partial 16S ribosomal RNA". It matches the Rfam family "Bacterial small subunit ribosomal RNA", at positions 104 to 334 of the family's 1533-position model. The record is from RNAcentral.
CGGGGUGAGUAAUGCUUGGGAAUCUAGCUUAUGGAGGGGGAUAACUACGGGAAACUGUAGCUAAUACCGCGUAGAAUCGAGAGAUGAAAGUGUGGGACCUUCGGGCCACAUGCCAUAGGAUGAGCCCAAGUGGGAUUAGGUAGUUGGUGAGGUAAAGGCUCACCAAGCCGACGAUCUCUAGCUGGUCUGAGAGGAUGACCAGCCACACUGGGACUGAGACACGGUCCAA